Molecule: long non-coding RNA, 17795 nt
Filed under: Capsicum annuum
Lineage: Eukaryota; Viridiplantae; Streptophyta; Magnoliopsida; Solanales; Solanaceae
Description: long non-coding RNA (CANN_LNC013254)
Source: RNAcentral
CUGGAGACACCAUCCUCUUCACUCAAAAUAUCGGCACACACAUACGCCCAAUCGCUCGCACACACACACGCAAUCCUCUCCCUUCAUAGCUCACUCAAAAUCGCACACUAAUCCGCACAUACCCAAAAAAAAUAAAGCCGAUUGAGAGAGAGGGUGACGAAUAGAGAGAGAUAUAGUUAUUUUGGUUUCGGGUUUGUUGCUGGAUUUCGACAUUUUCCGUUAGCUUAUUCCCUUCACAGCUCACCGGAGCUUAGAUUCGGACUGGUUUUGAGCUCUCAGUUAGACUUCGGAGACGUUAGUUAUCAUUUGCUCGUCAUUCGUCUUCCGAUAUCGUGCCUUUGAAGGUUUUUGAUACCGGGCUGGUCUAUUUUUCUGUUGCUAUUUUGCUAUGGUUUCAUCGGUCUUCGCUACUGAUUUGAAGAUUAGAAUCUCGUUCGUCUCAAAUCGUUAAUCGUGAUCAGUUUUUUGGUCUUCAAUCUUUGAUACCGAAUCUGGGAUUAUCGCAUUUUGGAUUAUUUCUCGACUGAUUUGGAGAGUCGAGAUUUCGUUGGUAUUCUUCGAGGUUCUUGGACGGCUCUUAUUUCUCUUAUUAAAUCAAUCGACAUCGCCUGAGGUCCAAUUCUAACUUUUCUCUUUUUGAUUUUCUCGUGAUUACAAAUGAUUUGUAUGCUUAAAUGUUUGAGUCCUUGUUUGGGUAUGUGUUCAAUAUUGAUUUCGGAUUUGAAGAAGUAACUUGAUUGUCAAAUUAGUUGUUUGGGGUCUAGAUUGAAAAUUAAUAAUCGAAUAAGUCGAAGGUUGUUUAUUUUGAUUCAUUAUUGAAUAUUGUUGAAUUGGAUAGCAUCAUGAUUAGGCCAUCUAAUGAAUAGGUUAAAGUAGGUUCGGGUAGGCAAAUAUUUAGGAAUAAGUGUUUGCUCGUUGAAUUAUUGAAUGCUUGAAAUGCGUGUUGAAUGGUUUGGUUUUAUUGCUUUUGGAUUGAAUGUAUCAUUUAGCCGGGGAAUGCCCCGAGACACAUUGUAUUUAUUCACUGGGGAAUGCCUCGACGUACUAUGUUGGCGGAAGACGUUCGUGAUGAAGGCCCGAGGCAUCGGGUAGCUUGGGAGCGUAGUUAGGAUUAGUAUAGGUUAGAUAAGAUUUAUUUUUCGCAUUUUAUUUAUUUUGGGUAUGUAUAAUCGGACUGAACACUAUACUUUGAUUCAUUUUGUUUGGUUUGUUUGUUUGCUUUACGUGCUUCCUUGUGAUUUGUACAUUCGUAGUGUCAAAAUUAGCCGAUACGAUCCACCAAGCGUCCGUGGUCGAACCACGGGAUCGAGGGGUGUCUAACACCUUCCCCUUGGUCAACAAAAAUUCCUUAGUCAGAAUCUCUGUUCGCGGAUCAGUUCUAUAGAGUCCAAAUCAUUUUGAAAAGGGAUAUCCAUGGGUAACUUGGCACACCCGAUUUAUGCCAAGUGGCGAAUCUGAGUUUUGAAUAUAAAAGAUCCUUUUCAAAAAAAAAAUUUCAUCUUUUGUCACUUUGAUAAUAAAACCCUUUUGAACCUAAAAUGAAUCUUUUCCGGAGUUGAAAAAAAAGGGGUGUGACAGCUCUGGCGACUCUGCUGGGGAAUCAUUUUUCAAAAUUCGAGCUUAUUUUUUGGAGUUGUAUUGGCUUAGUUUGGCAUUAGGGGUGUAUAGACAUUGUUUGUGUUAUCGUUUGUGUUUAUUUUAUCAUUGUUGAGUGCCUACGUGCUCUUUGUUACAGUUUUUCCUUAUGUGUUACUGCUUUUAUAUCUGGCAUCAUUUGCAUAAUCCGAAUCAAUUCUUUCUGCAAUAAGUCUUGGAGUGCCGUCGUGUACACGAACUCUAGUUGACUCACCUUUAUUUUAGGAGGGGGAGCCGUCGGACGUAUGGAGUGGGUAGAAAGUUGUCGCAGCCACUAUCGACCAUACGCUUUCCGAACAGCCUUGUUAGUAAAUCCAGCGUAGGUCAUCCUUUAGGUCAUGCUUAUGUGCAUUAUAUUGAGACCUAGCGAGGCCCACUUGGUCCUUUGUAGGAGACUCACCUCUAAAGCAUCCCUACAUGCUAAAUGUUGCAUCUUUGAGGGUGAUGUGGUCAUUUGACGGACUAAUUCGGGAAAAACAUGUGUUAGAAGUAAGGUGUGUUUGAAAAAAGAAAAGAAAAGAAAUGAGUCAAAAGGGGUUUCUUUUAGUAUUCUUUAUGGCUUUAGUUUUUCACAAUUCAAAAAUUCAAAAAGAUUUUUUUACCUUUCGCACUCAUUUUCUCAAAAAACAAAAUUUCAAAAAGAUUUUCCCUUUAUCUCCCUUAGCACGCAUUCAUAAUUCACAAAUUCCAAAAAAAGAUUUUCUUUAGAAGUGUCAAAAAUGGUAGUAGUUGUGACCAUUUCAUAAAAAAAAAAAUGCCAAAAAGAUUUUUCUUUCAUAGUUGUUAGUGUCAGUCUUACGUGAAUUGUCUAAAUGAAAACUCGAAAAGAUUUUAUUUACAUUGUUCAUCGUCUGUCUUUGGUCGUGUCUCUUAAGUCAGGUUCAGUUUAUUAUUUAAUCCUCAAUUGUCCAAUCUGGAUGAACAGCACCCCUGAUUUUCCUCUUUCGGGAGUGAGAUACGUAGGCAGCCUAUUAUAGGUUCAGAGACCUUAUUUAAAAAAAGAAAUCCAAAAAAAAAAAAAUUUCUUCACUCUUUAGUUAGAAUAGGUGUUUCAUACAUGUCUUAAAAAGAAAAAUACAAAAAAAAAAUCUCAUUGAUAGCCGUAGGUUUUAUUUUUGGUUGAUCUUACUUUAAAAAAUUCAAAAAGAUUUUUCUUCACUCUUCAUUUAGAGUAGGUGUCACAUAUAUCUUAAAAGAAAACCACAAAAAGAUUUUCUUUUAAUAGGUUCGAGUUUUAUUUUUGCAUAAAAUUCAAAUCUGAAAACCCAAAAAGAUUUUUUUGGUAAUCAUAGAAUUUCACUUCGUAGAGGGGUGUUUAAACCUGAAAAAUAUAAAAAGAUUUUCGUCAAUUCUUGUGACAAAUUGUUAUUUUCUUUUCUUCCUAAAGUUUCAAGAAAAAGAAAAAGAGAAAGAGUUUAAUUUGGCCAUUUUUGGCAAAACUUCAUGAACUACGCACAUCUGAUUCUCCUCUUUCGGGGGUGAGAUACGUAGGCACCCUUUUCGGGUUAGGUGACCUUUUCAAAAUGAAAAAAAAAAAGAAGUUUUCGAAAAAGUGUUGAAUUCUAACACAUUGGUUAUCUCUUGUUCAGUUAGCUUAAGGUGGUUGGUUUGUGGUACUUUGGCUGGCCCUCCAUAUUGCACCAAGUCCAAGAGAAAGUUAUGGCUAACAAAGAUACCGAGUUAGUUGUCACUAAUCAGAUAGGGAGUUCGGGAAAUGAGAAUUUAGGAGCUAAUGAAGAGAUUCAAAAAUUAAGACCGCAAAUAAUAGAAAUGCAUCGAGCUUGGGCUAAUGGGUUGCCGCCUCCUCCAGUUCCCACUGAUAAUCUGGAAUGUCUUUCUAGCUUGCUUCCUGUGUCACAUACACAAUUUCCUAUUUUUGUUGAUAUGCCAUAACAUGCAUCAGGAUCGACUCCAGGGAAACAAUAUCUAACCACUUUCGAUGUUCAUUUCCUCACUCCCCAAUCCAAGACUACCACAUACUCGGCUUCACCUAAUGUUCAUAAUUUUGCGGCGCCGCCACCACCUGAAGCUCCUACUUUUGAUGUUCCUCCACAAGUUGUGCCUUACUACUCCACAAGAGAGCCUGCAUUGAAUAUUACUGGUGAUCAGCGUUACACUCCUGAGUCUACAUUCAAGUUAACUGGUCUUUAUGGUGACACUCACCCACCUGAAUUCCCUUCUAACACUGAGAAGCCUUUUAUGAUAGAAGAACAAGAGGAAAUAAUCAGAAAAUUGAGAAGUUUGGAACUGGCUAUGAAGAAUUCGCAAGGACUUGGGGAUUACAAAAGUGUCUCAUAUAAGGACUUAUGCAUGUUUCCAGGUGUCAAGCUUCCUCCUGGCUUUAAAAUGCCAAAGUUAGAGAAAUAUGACGGACAUGGGGAUCCGGUGUCACAUUUAAGGCGCUAUUGUAACCAAUUAAGGGGCGUUGGAGGGAAGGAAAAACUACUCAUGGCUUAUUUUGGGGAGAGUCUUUCAGGCCUAGCUUCGGAAUGGUUUGUUGACCAAGACAUUAACAAGUGGAUUAGUUGGGAUGACCUAGCUAAUGAAUUUGUGCAACAAUUUCAAUACAAUGUGGAGUUGAUCCCUGACAAAAAAUCCCUAAUUAGUAUAAAAAAAAAGAAUACUGAGAGUUUCAGGGAGUAUGCGAUCAGAUGGCGUGAACAAGCUGCUAGGGUGAAACCGCCAAUGAAUGAAAGUAAGAUAGUGAAGGUAUUUAUUCAAGCGCAGGAUGAAACAUAUUAUCAACACUUGUUACCUGCAUUAGGCAAGUCGUUCAUUAAAGUCCUUAAAAUAGGGGAGAUGAUAGAAGAGGGAAUUAAGACUGGUCGCAUUAUGAGUUUUGCAAUAUUGAAAGCGACUACUCAAGCAAUUCAAAAGAGUUCAGGAAGUGUUGGGGAGAAAAAGAAUGAGGAAGAUUAAUCUGCUAUUGUAGUUGGAUAGCAGGAUAGGUCAAGAAGACCCCGUCGUCGUCACUCUCAGGAUCAAACCCAAGUUCAUGCCCAUGCUCCACAUAAUCACUCCCAAAAUUCAUUAUACUCUGCUCCUCCACCCCCGUAUCAAGUUUAUAACGCACAACCAUAUGUUCACCCCCCAUGUUACCCAUAAUGGAACACACCAACUCCUCAGAGUCGUCCUCUAACUCCAUAAAUAUACCAAAGCCCUUCUAAGACUAAUUUUCGAUCCAAGCCAAACGAUGAAAUGAGGCAGAAGUCAAGAAAUAGCUUCACACCAAUUGGAGUCGUAUGCCAGUUUAUUUUAGAGAUUGGUACAAUGGGGCAUGAUCACUCCUCUCCUUGGGUGCACUCUUAAUCGGAGUUCCAAAAAUUUUGAUCUGAAUGUACGAUGUGCGUAUCAUUCUGAUGCUCAGGGUCAUAGUAUUGAAGAUUGUCGACAUCUGAAAAGAGAUAUUAAAAAGAUGAUUCAAGAUGGAUUAAUUAUGGUGCAGAACAUUGACAGUGAGAGAAACUCUAGUCAUGCUGAUAUGCAAACUAGUGGCUAAGAUGUCAGGCUGAGCAAUUGAGAAGUCACCCUUCUCCUUACUAGGGAGAGGUUUGAUAGUUUGUUUUGUUUUAUUUUUUGUUAUCCGAAUUAUUUCAGGGUUGUAGUUCGGGAUCUAUCUUGUUUUGUCCUUUUGUCGUUUAUGUUGAAACCCUUCUAUCUUUUGUUUCAACUAAAUGAAGUGUCCUAUUUUCCUUUGUGUUUUAAAUAUGUUUUAUUUGUUUGUUUUCUUUACAUAGUACAUUUUAUGUUGACUUUAAUGAUAUGACAUGCUAGAAAAAUAUUUCAGUCAGAUCUUAAAAUCCGGUUUAAGCAUGAGUAUUGAAUCAAGGGGUUAAAGUUAGAAAAAAAAGAGUGUCUGAGAAAAUAGUAGAGUGCUGAAACAUUUGGUGACAAGUUCAAGACUUCUUUGAAAAUUAAGGCCAUUUAUUUUGAGAAUCAAAAGAAUAACUUGGUCAUCAAUUGAAAGACAUGUCUCAAUUAGGUCAAACAGUGUCUGGGUGAUCCUAUCAAGAAGAGCAGAAAGAAAAUCAACUCCACGAAAGCAUGAGUCAUUCAAAGUGAGGGAUGCACAACAAAUGUGGAGUUGUACGUUUGAAAAGUAUAGAAAAAGAGGUGACACACAUGCUCGGGGAAAAUUAGUGUUGUAAAACAUGUCAUAAGUGAUGUUGAUCGUGCACUUUCACAUUGCAUGCUAUGUACUAGUAUUUUCAAAGAUUGAUAUCACGAAAGCAUUUUAUUCUGCUAUCCAAACAUUGUGUCAUCCUUUGUUACCCUAUUUGAGCCUUAGUGUUAUUUUCUUUCAUACCCCUCUUUGGGUAUCAAGAUAAAGCUAGCAAAGCUUAAAAGAAAAGUAUCGAGCAAGAGAAUAGAGUCAGAAAGUUUCAAAAAAGAAGAAGAGAAAAAUGUGUCCACAAAGGAAGAAAAGAGUGUCAAGAAAUUGGAGUCAGAAAAAUCACAAAGAAAAAAGAGUACAAAAAAAAAGAACAAGUCAGAAUCAAGCAAAAAAGAAUAAGCUGUCAGAACUACGCAUGACCUGAUUCUCCUCUCUCGAGGGUGAGAUACAUAGGCUGCCUUACUCAGGGCUCGGUCCAACCAAAUAACAAUUUAGAAUUUCCAGUCAAAAGAAACUGGGGCAUGAGUUAAUCCUCAUUGUUUGAGUCGAUUUCAAAAGUUAUAAGUCCCACCUCACUACAAGUGUCGUUUUGGGCAUCAUGUCAUCCUUUCUUUCUAACCUUGUCCAAAAGUCAAGUUACAACCAAAGAAAGACCUUCAGAUCAAUCUUUGAGAAUGUUAAGGCUAAGCAUGCAAAGGAUAUGAUGAUGCAUUUGGGAAUUACUUGUCUUCCUCAGCAUAAGAAAUGAAGAGAGAAAUAAAAAGGAGAGAGUCUUAUUGGUGAAAAUCCUCACGGGCACCAUAAGGCGAUGCUAAGUUGAGAGAAAUAAAAAUGAGAGAGUCUUAUUGGUGAAAACCCUCAUGAACACCGUAAAAUGACUGUGAGUUAAUGGAAAUGAAGAUAAGAGAGUCUCAUUAGUGGAAAACCCUUACAGACACCAUAAGGUAAUGGUGAGCUGAGGAAAAGAAAAUGAGAGAAGCUUGUUGGCGAAAAUCCUUCAAGGCUCCACUAGCCGAAUGGGGUCUUAAAUGCAGUUGACCUAAGGAAGCAACUCAGUUUCAAGGCCAUUAACUCAACAACAAUAGGUAGAAAAUUUGGACGAAAAGAUCAAGCUGCUUAAUUCAAAAUGCAUGGUAUAAUCAUUAGUGUUGAGUGUCAUUUUUAGAUGAAUUUUUUGUUUCUUUGUUUCAAAAGGGAACAUUUAUUGUCUUUUCUUUCUUCUCUUUAUUUUUAUUUUAUCUUUCUUGAGUCAGUUAUCCAAACAAAAAUUUUAAUUCUUUUUUUCGUUUCUUGUCUUUGAGUCAAGUCCGUGUCAAAACAAGUGAGAAAAGAUUUAAAAAAUGGCUACCAGCUUUUUUAAUUGCACAAAGCAAGACAAAAGAUAGAACAUGAAAGAGACAUGAUUAUGAGCAAAAAAAUGGCAUGCAGAAAGUUUUGUCAAACAGAGAAGUCAGGAAACUCAUGGAAAUAUCAAGGUUCAAAGGAUCUAUUUGAGAAGCAUGGCAAAGUAGAGAUACUGUGUUUGUUUUAGUCACUCUUAAUAAUCUAAGCUCGGGUCAAUGAUUCAGCAAGUCAAUGAUAUAUGCUAAUGGUUAGAAGCAAGGUUAAAUGUGAGGAGGGCAAGAGUGAUCGUCGCGAAAGCUAAAACCACAAACCGGCUACCAUGUUUUAAACUCACAAGUUUUCUUUGAUGAAACAGGAAACAUAUUACCUUCAAAGCAGGGACUUCAGAGCAUAAACAUCAAUGGUUGCAAUGCUUCACUUUUACAAAUGCAAAAAACAAUAUUACUGCACAGGUUUGAUAUAAAAUCAUGGUAAAAAUUCAUCAUCCUAUAUCCCUCGAAGAAACACUUUCUUGUCUAGGAAUUUCAGUUUUCAUUUGCUAGGUGAUACACUUCUUAAAUUGAACCUUCACUCCUAGAAGACGUAUCUUUUAGUCGAGUCAUUCCCAUUGAUUCCUAUAAGACGUACCUUUUAGUCGAGUCAUAUCCCUUUGAUUCCUAUAAGAUGUACCUUUUAGUCGAGUUAUCCCAUUGAUUCCUAUAAGACGUACCUUUUAGUCGAAGUCAUUCCUAUUGAUUUCUAUAAGACGUACCUUUUAGUUGAGUCAUUCCCAUUGAUUCCUAUAAGACUUACCUUUUAGUCGAGUCAUCCCCUUUGAUUCCUAUAAGACGUACCUUUUAGUCGAGUCAUCCCCUUUGAUUCCUAUAAGAUGUACCUUUUAGUUGAGUCAUUCCCAUUGAUUCCUAUAAGACGUACCUUUUAGUCGAGUCAUCCCCUUUGAUUCCUAUAAGAUGUACCUUUUAGUUGAGUCAUUCCCAUUGAUUCCUAUAAGACGUACCUUUUAGUCGAAUCAUCUCUCUUUGAUUCCUAUAAGACGUACCUUUUAAUCGAGUUAUUCUCCUUAAUUCCUAUAAUAAUGUGACUUUCACAAAAGCCCUUUGAUGAUAAACUGGGGCAAAAUUUAAUUCUUAUGUUUGGAACUUCACUUUUCAAAAAAUGAAAUCCUUCUUUAUCAUAAUAUUUGUUCAGGACCCUUAUGAAAAAUGAAAUUUUACUUUAUGUUCAGGACCCUCCUGAAAAAUAGGAUUCCACUUUCUGUUUAGGACCUUCCUGAAAAAUGGGAAUUUACUUUCUGUUCAGGACCCUCAUGAAAAAUGGGAUUUUACUUUAUGUUCAGGACCCUCUUGAAAAAUGGGAUUUCACUUUAUGUUCAGGACCCUCCUGAAAAAUGAGAUUUCACUUUAUGUCCAGGACCUUCCUGAAAAAUGGGAUUUUACUUUCUGUUCAGGACCCUCCUGAAAAAUGGGAUUUUACUUUCAAUUCAGGACCCUCCUAAAAAAUGGGACUUUACUUUCUGUUCAGGACCCUCCUGAAAAAUGAUAUUUUACUUUCUGUUCUGGACCCUCUUGAAAAAUGGGAUUUUACUUUUUGGAAAAUGAAUUCUUUCUUUAUCAUAAAAUUUGUUUAGAUAUUUUCGUUCUAGUUUUGAUUUUGAUUUCAGAAGCCCGCCUGAAGAACCAGGGUGAUGAAAUUGCAAGUCAGGAGUCCGCCUGAAGAACAGGGUGAGGAAGAUGAAAGCCAAGCAACAAGGUAAAGAAAUUAAAAGUCGAAAAAUAGCAAGUCAGGAGCCCGCCCAAAGCAUAGGGUGAAUAAAUGAAAAGUCAAUCAACAAGGUGAAGAAGCUAAAAGUUAAACAACAAGGUGAAGAAAUUGAAAGUCAACAAAUGGAAAAAUAACAAGUCAGGAGCCCACCUGAAGAACAGGGUGAUGAAAUGGGAAAUUGAAGAAACUGCAAGUCAGGAACCCGCAUGAAGAAUAGGGUGAUGAAAUUGAAGUACAAAAAAUGGCAAGUCAGAAGCCCACCUGAAGAGCAAGGCGAAUAAAUGAAAGUCGAGCAAUGAAGUGAAGCAAUGGAAAACCAAGCAACAAGUUGAAGAAAUUGCAAGUCAGGGGCCCGCCUGAAAAAUAGUGUGAUGAAGUAGCGAGUCAAGCGUCAAGGAAAGCUGCAUAGAUAGGAAUUUUGUAAUUUCAUUUAUAUUUUAACUUGUAAUUUUCAUUUUAAGGUAAUGACAGAGCCGCGGACCGGAACCUCGAUGGAACCUCAUUCGACUCUCCAACUUGAUUUAGUCCAUCUCCGUCCAAUCCUUUGAGAUAUCGAUCACUUGAUUCCCUCAUAACUUGGGUGGGUAGAAUGUCCAUCAAGACUAGGUUGCCCUUCUUCCUUCUGUUUCCUUCCUCGAAUAAUGAUCAGGAAAAAAUUCUGUUUCGUUGUCUACUUAUUUGAAUGAAAACACUUGGUGUUUACAUUCAAAGGAGGCAUGAUGAAGACACGUAAUUUUAUCCCGUUAAUAAUAUUUCUUACUCCAAUAUCACAUAAUUUAACCCCUUUUUUAUAAUUUUUUCCCAAGAAAAUAAAUAACCACCUCAUCUUUUAAUUAUUUAUGUAUUUAUUUUUUUGUUUUGUUUUAUUCAAAUAACAAGUCAUAACAAACUUUGUCUCAUUCUAAUAUUCCAACAAUCCACCCAAUAAAAAAUGGACACCUAACCCCUAGUCCUCCCAUUAAAAAAAAAAUCAACACCACCACCCCUAACCUCACCUACCCUACCCUACCCAUCACGUGACCCCUCCCCCUACCUACUUUCUUUACACGUUUAUUCCAAUUCUAUAUAUACAAAGGAGCAAAGGAAAAGCAAAGAAUGGAAACGCGGAGCCCACAUAAUUAUUCCAUUAGUUUUCCUUCUUGGAUUGUCAAUACAUACACCUAUAUGCAUAUGAAAAAUGAACCUGGACAGAAGGACAAAAAACAAGGGGGGCCCAUUAGGAACUUUCCAGGAAAUACUCCAUUCACACAGUACACAGAUAUCAUAUGUAUACACCAUUGUUUCUUUUCCUUCGGGGGAGACCUGGAGACACCAUCCUCUUCACUCAAAAUAUCGGCACACACAUACGCCCAAUCGCACACACACACACGCAAUCCUCGCCCUUCACAGCUCACUCAAAAUCGCACACUAAUCCGCACAUACCCAAAAAAAUGAAGCCGAUUGAGAGAGAGGGUGACGAAUAGAGAGAAAUAUAGUUAUUUUGGUUUCGGGUUUGUUGCCGGAUUUCGACAUUUUCCGUUAGCUUAUUCCCUUCACAGCUCACCGGAGCUUAGAUUUGGACUGAUUUUGAGCUCUCAGUUAGACUUCGGAGAUGUUAGUUCUCGUUUGCUCGUCAUUCGUCUUCCGAUAUCGUGCAUUUGAAGGUUUUUCAUACCGGGCCGGUCUGUUUUUCUGUUGCUAUUUUGUUGUGGUUUCAUCGGUCUUCGCUACUGAUUUGAAGAUUAGAAUCUCGUUCAUCUCGAAUCGUUAAUCGCGAUCAGUUUUUUGGUCUUCAAUCUUCGAUACCGAAUCUGGGAUUAUCGCAUUUUGGAUUAUUUCUCGACUGAUUUGGAGAGUCGAGAUUUCGUUGGUAUUCUUCGAGGUUCUUGAAUGGGCUCUUAUUUCUCUUAUUAAAUCAAUCGAAAGCUCCCGAGGUCCAAUUCUAACUUUUCUCUUUUUGAUUUUCUCGUAAUUACGAAUGAUUUGUAUGCUUAAAUGUUUGAAUCCUUGUUUGGGUAUGUGUUCAAUAUUGAUUUCGGAUUUGAAGAAAUAACUUGAUUGUCAAAUUAGUUGUUUGGGGUCUAGAUUGAAAAUUAAUAAUCGAAUAAGUCGAAGGUUGUUUAUUUUGAUUCAUUAUUGAAUAUUGUUGAAUUGGAUAGCAUCAUGAUUAGGCCAUCUAAUGAAUAGGUUAAAGUAAGUUCGGGUAGGCAAAUAUUUAGGAAUAAGUGUUUGCUCGUUGAAUUAUUGAAUGCUUGAAAUGCGUGUUGAAUGGUUUGGUUUUAUUGCUUUUGGAUUGAAUGUAUCAUUUAGCCGGGGAAUGCCCCGAGACACAUUGUAUUUAUUCACCGGGGAAUGCCUCGACGUACUAUGUUGGCGGAAGACGUUCGUGAUGAAGGCCCGAGGCAUCGGGUAACUUGGGAGCGUAGUUAGGAUUAGUAUAGGUUAGAUAGGAUUUAUUUUUCGCAUUUUAUUUAUUUUGGGUAUGUAUAAUCGGACUGAACACUAUACUUUGAUUCAUUUUGUUUGUUUGCUUUACGUGCUUCCUUGUGAUUUGUACAUUCGUAGUGUCAAAAUUAGCCGAUACGCUCCACCAAGCGACCGUGGUCAAACCACGGGAUCGAGAGGUGUCUAACACCUUCCCCUCGGUCAACAAAAUUCCUUAGUCGGAAUCUCUGUUCGCGGAUCAGUUCUAUAGAGUCAAAAUCGUUUUGAAAAGGGAUAUCCAUGGGUGACUUGGCACACCCGAUUUAUGCCAAGUGACGACUUUGAGUUUAGAAUAUAAAAGGUCCUUUUCGAAAUAAAUUUUCAUCUUUUGUCACUUUGAUAAUAAAACUCUUUUGAACAUAAAAUGAAUCUUUUCCAGAGUUGAAAAAAAAAAGUGUGACAGACAUGUACAAGCAAGCUGCGGAUGAAUUAAUAUCAGGGGUAAACCCUAUCACACCCCUUUUUUCAACUCCCAAAAAAAAAUUCAUUUAAGGUUUGAAAGAGUUUUUAUUAUUAGGUGACAAAAGAUGAACAUUUGUUUCGAAAAUGGAUUAUUUACAUUUCUGUUCUGAGUCACCACUUGACAUAACCCGGUGUGCCAAGUCACCUUUGGAAAAUCUUUUUCAAAACGAUUUGACUCUUCAAACUGGUUUGCGAACAGAGAUUUCGGCUAAGAAAUUCUAUUGACCGAGGAAAAGGUGUUAGGCACCCCUCGAUCCCGUGGUUCGACCACGGUCGCUUGGUGGAGCAUAACGGCUAAUUUGACACUACAAAAUGUAUAAAACACACGAAAAAAGCAAAUAAACAAAUCAAACAAAAUUCAAAAUCAAAAUAAUAUCCAUUCCGAAUUAUACAAUCCCAAGGAUAGAAGAAUACAAAAAUAUAAAUCCUAUACUAGACUAAUCCUAAACUAUGCCUCGGGCCUUCAUCAAAACGUCUUCCGCCAACAUAAUACAUCGGGGCAUUCCCUGGUGAAUAAAUACAAUGUGUCUCGGGGCAUUUCCCGGCUCCAAAUGCGAGAAAGACAAACCAUUUCUCAAACAUUCAACGCAUUCAAUCAACACACCACUCCUAAAUUUUGCCUACCCGAACCUAAACAUUUUGCCUAUCCAAUGCGAACUAUCAUGAUACUAUAGAAUUCACAAACUUGAUUCCGAAUUAAGCAAAAUAACAACGAACCAACAUUAAACCAAAUUUACCCUUUUUAUCAAUCUCGCAAUUCCACCCUAAAUUCUCUUCUCAACACUAAAUUUCCACAAUUCACGAUUUCUAUUUCAACAAUCCACAAUCACUUUUCAAUGAAAAUUAAGCAACGAGUUAAUAUCAAAGUAGCAAUUCAUAACCAAUCAAGAUCAAACAACACACGAGAUUCCAUCCAAUGCACCAUAUUCCAUCAAUAAUGAAAUAAAAAGAGGAAAGGAGUAGAAAUGGACCUCAAUGAUGAUUUUAUUUCGAAUAUCAGUCAAUCGAGAAGACGACUCUGUGUGAUGAAGAACCUCGAGUCUGCCUCAAAAAAUACCACAACUCGACUACGAACCAACUCCAAUACGACAAUCUUCAAAACCCGAUCCCAAAACAAAACCCACGAAGGCCAGUGAGCCACUUAUCCACUGAGGUGACUUAGCCUAGUAGGGAGAGGGGUGACUUCUCAAUUACUCAGCCUGACAACUUAGCCACUGGUUUGUAUAUCAACAUGACUAGAGCUUCCCUCACUGUCAAUGUUCUGCACCAUAAUUGAUUCAUCUAGAAUCAUCUUUUCAAUUUCUCUUUUCAAAUCUCAACAAUCUUCAAUACUAUGACCCUGAGCAUCAUAAUGAUACGCACAUCGUACAUUAGGAUCAAAAUUUCUUGAACGCUAAUUAAGAGUGCACCCAAGGAGAGGAGUGAUCAUACCCUAUUGUACUAAUCUCUGAAAUAAACUUCCAUACGACUCUUCAAUUGGUAUGAAGCUAUCUCUCGACUUCUUCCUUAUUUCAUCAUUUGGCUUGGAUAAAUUAGGCUUAGGAGGGUUUUGGUAUGUUUACGGAGUUAGAGAAUGACUCUGAGGAGUUGGUGUGUUCCACUGUGGGUAAUAUGGGGGUUGAACAUGUGGUUAUGCGUUAUAUACUGGAUAUAGAGGUGGAGGAGUAGAGUAUAAUAGAUUUUGGGAAUGAUUAUGUGGAGUUUGGACAUGAACUUGGGUUUGAGCCUGAGAGUGACGACAAUGGGGUCUUCUUGACCGUGCCCGCUGUCCGACUACAAUAGAGGAUGGAACUUCCUUAUUCUUUGUCUCCCCAAUACUUCCUGAACCCUUUUGAAUUGCUUGAGUUGUCGCUUUCAAUGUUGCAAAACUCACAAUGCGACCCGUCUUAAUUCCCUCUUCUAUAAUCUCCCCCAUUUUAAGGACAUCAAUAAAUGACUUGCCCAAUGCAGGUAACAAGUGUUGAUAAUAUGUUCCAUUCUACGCUUGAAUAAACUCCUCUACUAUUUUUCUUUCUUUCAUUGGCGGUUUUACUCUAGCAGCUUGUUCACACCAUCUGAUCGCAUAUUUCCUGAAACUCUCAGUAUUCUUCUUUUUUAUACUAUUUAGGGAUUUUUCGUCAGGAAUCAACUCCACAUUGUAUUAAAAUUGUUGCACAAAUUCAUUAUCUAGGUCAUCCAAACUAAACCACUUGUCAAUGUCUUGGUCAACAAACCAUUCCAAAGCUAGUCCUGAAAGAUUCUCCCCGAAAUAAGCCAUGAGUAGUUCUUCCUUCCCCCAGCACCCCUUAGUUGGUAGCAAUAACGUAUCAAGUGUGCAAUAGGAUCACCAUGUCCAUCAUACUUCUCAAACUUCGGCAUGUUAAAGCCAAAAGGAAGAUGAACCCAAGAAAACAUGCACAGAUCAACAAACAUUCAACGCAUUUAAUCAACACACCACUCCUAAAUUUUGCCUACCCGAACCGAAACAUUUUGCCUAUCCAAUGCGACCUACCAUGAUACUAUAGAAUUCACAAACUUGAUUCCGAAUUAAGUAAAACAACAACAAACCAACAUUAAACCAUAUUUACCCUUUUUAUCAAUCUCGCAAUUCCACCCCAAAUUCUCUUCUCAACACUAAAUUUUCACAAUUCACAAUUUCUAUUUAAACAAUUCACAAUCACUUAUCAACGAAAAUUAAGAAACAAGUCAAUAUCAAAGUAGCAAUUCAUCACCAAUCAAGAUCAAACAACACACGAGAUUCCAUCCAAUGCACCAUAUUCCAUCAAUAAUGAAAUAAAAAGAGGAAAGAAGUAGAAAUGAACCUCAAUGAUGAUUUUAUUUCAAAUAUCAAUCAAUCGAGAAGACGACUCCGUGUGACGAAGAACCCCAAAUCAGCCUCGAAGAAUACCACAACUCGACUACGAACCAACUCCAACACGACAAUCUUCAAAACCCGAUCCCAAAAAAAAACCCACAAAGGCCAGUGAGCAAAUCUCAGCUUGGUAUCGAGAAAACUGUGACCUAAGACAGAGCACGAUGAACCCACCGAGAUAAACAAAACCCAAAUCCAAAUACAACACCAGCGUUAAAUUGUUUAGAAUCGAUUUAAAAAAGAAAUGUUGAUGGUGCUAUUACUGUUCACUUCUUUCCGAUGGUAUCGCCUGAAACAAAAAGAAACGACAAGGUAUGUUGGGUUUUCGGCACAGGGCAAGUUAACUCGAACGGGCCGGGAAAACUUGAGAAUCCCUUUCUCUCUGGUUUUCUCACUCUCUGACCAGUUCUCUCUGUCAAUCUCCUCGUUUUCUCAAUUUCUCUCUCAAUCGAUCUCUCCCACUCCUAUCUUUAUUCUCUCCGGUCACCUCACUCCUCGAUUUCCCUAUAUCAGUGUAUGUGUCCCCAGAUAUCGUGAGGUUGGUGAGUGUAUCCGUGAGCCAGAAGAAAUGAAAGAUAAUGUUGGUGUUUUCCUUUUUUCGUGAGUGGAAGAAUGAAGUGUCUUGUUGUGAUGGUAUAAGGUGGAGAAGAUGAUGUUUAUGGUGUCCCCUUAGUGGUGGGGCCCGUAUGUGUGUAUAUAUCCCUCAUGGUGUGAGAGAUUUUUCUUUUUCUCCAAGCUAACACCGUGUAAAAUAAUAUAAAAGGAGGAGGUAUGGUCACGUGGGAGAGGGUAGGGGUGGUGAUGAUAAGAUUUGUUAGGAUAAAGUUUUUUACGAUAAGGUUAGGGAUUUAAUUUGUUAGAGAUUUUGUUAAGGGUUGUUAUUUUUUGUAUUUUUGUGGGAUAUAAUCAUACGGAUGAGGGUAUAUAAUAACAAGAGGUAAAAAAUGGAUAAAUUGAGUUUUGGGAGGGACAAAAUUUGGCGUCUACAAAUCCCAAAUGAUCCAUGUUUGUUUCAUCAGCCAAAGCCAACUUAGUUAGAAGAAACCGUGAGGGUCAUCAUAUUUGCUUUAAUAGUUCAUUCGUAGAGGAUGAACAUCUAUCGUUGUAAAGAUAAUUCUAUUUGAUUUUCAUAGUUCAUUCGAUGGAGGAUGAACAUGUCUGUUGCCGUAAAGGCCAGCAUAUUUAUUUUCAUAGCUAGUUCAUCCGGUGUAGGAUGUGUGUCUGUCGCAGGAGUGAAAACUAUGGACUUUGGUUGAUUUGAUUUUCUAUAGCAAAAAUCUUAGUUUUGGCAGAUGUUUAUGAGUUUUCUCUAUGGUUAUGUUUGGUAUGGAUGAAAAUGUUUUCUAUUUUUUUUCAUGUUUUGUUUCAAAAUACUAAUUGUCUCUAUGAAUAUAGGUUCCUUGAAAUAUUUUUUUAAUUUGGGCAUAAAACAAGUUCGAUAAAUUACAUUUUAAGUUCAAUAUCUUCUCCCAUCCCGAACGACCCCAACCCUAUGACAGCCCGUACACUCAUCAAUGCCGGCCAAUGGUAAAGCCAUUAAAAGUAAUAUCUUGAGGCCCCAUAGUUUUAAGACCUAUUUUUUUAAAAUUAAUAAUAAAGUAAUUUUCAUGGUAAUAUUCCUUAAAACUAAAAAUUUUACGGUUUAAAAAGGAACAUUCUCUUUAUCAAAGAGGAAAAGAGAAUUUGUUUAGCCAAUCUGAUUACAUUUUUUAACAUUCUUUUCUGGUUCUCACAUAUUGCCACAGAUAUAUUGAAAUGAUAAAAUUUUAUUCUAUCAUCGAGUUAUAAAUUUCAAGAAUAAAAUUCUAUAAUUCAAACUCUACAACCUAAUAUUUUUUAUAAUUUUAUCUUGAAAUUAUGAUUAUUUUUAAAAUUUAAGACCUCUUUAUAAUGUUUGUAUCAAAGUGACUAAUAUUUCAAUCUUGUUGCAAAAUUCAUCUUUAAUUUGAGUUGGUAUGUUAUUAAACUAUGGCAUAGUGAAAUUUUUUUAAAAAAUUCAACAAGUUUAUUAAAGAUUUGAGAAAACACAACUAUAGAACUCAACUUUUGAUAUUUGCUUUUUCUAUUUGUUUUUUCAUAUUUUUAUUGGUUUGCAUGAAUAAGUCAUUCAUGUCUUUGUUGUUCCAUUAACUAGGAGAUAAUUCGUUAUUACUUGUUUCUUUAUGUCAAAGACCAGAAGAUGCUAGCAUAGUUUUUUCACUCUUUUCUUAUGAGGCAUGUACUACAACUUUAACCUCACAGGCCUGGGCUGGACUUGCCUCCCUUUCAUAAGGAGUCGUACGAGGCGAAAACUCUACAUACGAUUCUAAGGUUUAGCCUUUCUAGAAAUAAAAUGAUCAGAUUAUUAUGGAUACCUAUAGAGAUUAAUGUAUAAGAUCGAAAUCUACAAACUGAUGCAUUAGACUCACCUUUUACUUGAAUACAUACGGGGAAAAUAACAUUUCACAUGAAGAGAGACAAAUAAAAUUUCAUGAAUUUUGAUCUCCCAAUUUAUCUAGUACCCAUUCUAUGUUUUGUUUUUCAUGAAUACUUGACUUUUAGGUAAAAGUUCAUGCUUUAUUUUUUCUUUUUUUGCUUUUACUUUUUCAGUCACCAUACAUAACUAAAACUUUGGCUUAUUUUAAUAUGAUGAUUGAUAUUUGUUCUUUAUGAUAGAUGAAAUUUUAUAUUUUCAAAUUUUAGCUUUUCUGGAGUGAAUUUGAGUGUUAAAAUUUGAAGAAUAGAAUAAUUAUUUUUUGCCAAUCCAAAUUUUUAAAAGUAAUUUAGAUAGGGCCAUGGCCCAACAUUAUCAAAAUUGUCAAUCUCAGCAUUGUCCCGUUCGGGGAGCAACAGUAUUAGAACAGUGAUCCAUUUUAUUACAUAUAAAUUAGUAUGUGUUGUAUGUGUACAUUUUAUAACUGCUAGGCUACUUUAUCAGUCAUAUACAUGAUUGUCUUGUGUAUUUAUAUAUUCAGACCAGAUCAAUACAUAUGCGUCUUAUGCAUAUACCAAUAGAUUAUUUUAUUUAUCAGCUAUAUAAGUAGGAAAUUUAUGAAUGUUUGAAAUUGUUGUGCAUAUUUAAAUAUGAUGUGAAUUUAUUUUUUUCAAGAACUGCAUAUAAAUAAGCUAAUUUAAUUAUGUCGGUAUGUUAUUUCACAGCAUAUAUAUAUAUAUAUAUAUAUAUAU